Molecule: ribosomal RNA, 497 nt
Filed under: uncultured bacterium
Lineage: Bacteria
Description: partial 16S ribosomal RNA
Rfam family: Bacterial small subunit ribosomal RNA
Source: RNAcentral
GACGAACGCUGGCGGCGUGCCUAAUACAUGCAAGUUGAGCGCUGAAGGUUGGUACUUGUACCGACUGGAUGAGCAGCGAACGGGUGAGUAACGCGUGGGGAAUCUGCCUUUGAGCGGGGGACAACAUUUGGAAACGAAUGCUAAUACCGCAUAAAAACUUUAAACACAAGUUUUAAGUUUGAAAGAUGCAAUUGCAUCACUCAAAGAUGAUCCCGCGUUGUAUUAGCUAGUUGGUGAGGUAAAGGCUCACCAAGGCGAUGAUACAUAGCCGACCUGAGAGGGUGAUCGGCCACAUUGGGACUGAGACACGGCCCAAACUCCUACGGGAGGCUGCAGUAGGGAAUCUUCGGCAAUGGACGAAAGUCUGACCGAGCAACGCCGCGUGAGUGAAGAAGGUUUUCGGAUCGUAAAACUCUGUUGGUAGAGAAGAACGUUGGUGAGAGUGGAAAGCUCAUCAAGUGACGGUAACUACCCAGAAAGGGACGGCUAACUACGUG